UCUCCUCCAGUCAACAUGCUGAGGUGGUUCUGCUCCAUUUUUAUGGUUCUGAACCUUCUAUCAGGUGUCUGUGUUGGACGACUGACUCCAGUCAUGGUCCAAGAGUCAUAUGAAGAAGGCAGAGAUGUCACUCUGUCCUGCACCAUCUCUCCUCCUGCUUCUCCCCAGGACUACCUCUCCUGGUACCGACAGCACCCUGGAGGAUCACUGGAACAUCUGGUAUUUCACUUAGCAAUGGAAAAAGAAGUGAUGCGUCCAGGCCUGACUGCUGGAGUGACAGCUGACAGAAACCAGAUGGAGCUGAAGAUCAAGUCUGCUGCAGUGACGGACUCUGCUGUGUACUUCUGUGCUCUGCAGCCCACAGUGACAAUAAACACUUAUUCUCUACACAAAAACCUCUCUCACUCUUCCACCAGGGGGCGUCACUCUGCGCUGCCACAUGACCAGUGA
Molecule: non-coding RNA, 450 nt
Organism: Synchiropus splendidus (mandarinfish)
Lineage: Eukaryota; Metazoa; Chordata; Actinopteri; Syngnathiformes; Callionymidae
Source: the annotation of a RefSeq genome assembly